ACAGAAAAGCACAACAGAGGUGUGAGUCACAACACAGAAACUUGGAAAGGCUUUUCACAGAAAAUAGAUCCCAUGCGAGGCCCGAGAAAACUAGAAGUAGUGGAGGUCAAAUCUCGGCAAAUCACUAUCCGCUGGGAGCCAUUUGGAUAUAAUGUAACUCGUUGCCACAGUUAUAACCUCACUGUCCACUACUGUUACCAAGUUGGAGGACAAGAACAAGUGCGAGAAGAAGUAAGCUGGGAUACAGAAAACUCACACCCUCAACACACGAUCACUAACCUGUCACCAUACACCAAUGUCAGUGUGAAACUGAUCCUCAUGAACCCAGAGGGCCGGAAGGAAAGCCAAGAACUCAUAGUGCAGACAGAUGAAGACCUCCCAGGUGCUGUUCCCACUGAAUCCAUACAAGGAAGUACCUUUGAAGAGAAGAUAUUUCUUCAGUGGAGAGAACCAACUCAAACAUAUGGUGUAAUCACUUUAUAUGAG
RNAcentral lists this small RNA (486 nucleotides) under Pongo abelii (Sumatran orangutan). Its description in RNAcentral is "processed transcript". The record is from RNAcentral. Lineage: Eukaryota; Metazoa; Chordata; Mammalia; Primates; Hominidae.